UCCGAGAUCGUCUAACCGGCAGGACGCCAGGCUCUGAACCUGGAAGAUGAGGUUCGAACCCUUGUCUCGGAGCCA
RNAcentral lists this transfer RNA (75 nucleotides) under Methylobacterium sp. WL120. RNAcentral's name for it is "tRNA-Gln". It matches the Rfam family "tRNA". From Rfam's summary of the family: Transfer RNA (tRNA) molecules are approximately 80 nucleotides in length. The record is from RNAcentral. Lineage: Bacteria; Pseudomonadati; Pseudomonadota; Alphaproteobacteria; Hyphomicrobiales; Methylobacteriaceae.